This 543-nucleotide ribosomal RNA is filed under the name uncultured bacterium. RNAcentral's name for it is "bacterial SSU rRNA". It matches the Rfam family "Bacterial small subunit ribosomal RNA", at positions 338 to 873 of the family's 1533-position model. The record is from RNAcentral.
CCUACGGGAGGCCGCAGUGGGGAAUUUUGGACAAUGGGCGCAAGCCUGAUCCAGCAAUGCCGCGUGAGUGAAGAAGGCCUUCGGGUUGUAAAGCUCUUUUGUCAGGGAAGAAACGGUGAGGGCUAAUAUCUCUUGCUAAUGACGGUACCUGAAGAAUAAGCACCGGCUAACUACGUGCCAGCAGCCGCGGUAAUACGUAGGGUGCAAGCGUUAAUCGGAAUUACUGGGCGUAAAGCGUGCGCAGGCGGUUUUGUAAGUCUGUCGUGAAAUCCCCGGGCUCAACCUGGGAAUUGCGAUGGAGACUGCAAGGCUAGAAUCUGGCAGAGGGGGGUAGAAUUCCACGUAUAGCAGUGAAAUGCGUAGAGAUGUGGAGGAACACCGAUGGCGAAGGCAGCCCCCUGGGUCAAGAUUGACGCUCAUGCACGAAAGCGUGGGGAGCAAACAGGAUUAGAUACCCUGGUAGUCCCACGACCUAACGAUGUCUACUAGUUGUUCGGUUUAAGUUAACUUAGUACGUACAGCUACGCGUGAGUAGACCGCCGU